AAAUUGAAGAGUUUGAUCAUGGCUCAGAUUGAACGCUGGCGGCAGGCCUAACACAUGCAAGUCGAGCGGUAGCACAGAGAGCUUGCUCUCGGGUGACGAGCGGCGGACGGGUGAGUAAUGUCUGGGAAACUGCCUGAUGGAGGGGGAUAACUACUGGAAACGGUAGCUAAUACCGCAUAAUGUCGCAAGACCAAAGUGGGGGACCUUCGGGCCUCAUGCCAUCAGAUGUGCCCAGAUGGGAUUAGCUAGUAGGUGGGGUAACGGCUCACCUAGGCGACGAUCCCUAGCUGGUCUGAGAGGAUGACCAGCCACACUGGAACUGAGACACGGUCCAGACUCCUAC
RNAcentral lists this ribosomal RNA (343 nucleotides) under Klebsiella pneumoniae. RNAcentral's name for it is "partial 16S ribosomal RNA". It matches the Rfam family "Bacterial small subunit ribosomal RNA", at positions 1 to 342 of the family's 1533-position model. The record is from RNAcentral. RNAcentral also lists the same sequence under 1 other name. Lineage: Bacteria; Pseudomonadati; Pseudomonadota; Gammaproteobacteria; Enterobacterales; Enterobacteriaceae.